Molecule: unclassified non-coding RNA, 19 nt
Filed under: Mus musculus (house mouse)
Lineage: Eukaryota; Metazoa; Chordata; Mammalia; Rodentia; Muridae
Description: oocyte_clustered_small_RNA14132
Source: RNAcentral
GCAAAGCCUCUCCAUGGCC